Long non-coding RNA from Leopardus geoffroyi (Geoffroy's cat), 3877 nucleotides. RefSeq lists it as uncharacterized. NCBI's taxonomy places the organism in Eukaryota, Metazoa, Chordata, Mammalia, Carnivora, Felidae. The transcript is spliced from 2 exons. The record is from RefSeq and is a predicted model, not a curated record.
GAAGCGGGGCGCUGGAGGGUCCGGGUGCGGGGCCCACCUGGCGGGUCGGCUCCGAGGCGCUCGCGAUCCGCUCGGGCCGCGCUCCCUCCCGGCCCUGCCCGCCGCACCCCCCCUCCCCCCGCCAGGAAGCGGGCCCCGCCCCCCGCCCGACCGGUCCCGCCGCGCACGGCCCUCCGGGUUGCGUCAGGCUCGGCUCGCCGGGAGCCGCCUCCCUCCUCCGCCGGGAGCCACGCCGGGGCACCGCGGGGCGCGGGGCCGAGCUGGGCCAGGGGCGGCUCCGUGCUGGCGCGUCCCCGGCCGCCGGCCACCUCGGUUCAGCCGGCCACUCGAGGUGCCCCGGGGAAGGCGGAGCAGGCCACCCUCCAAAGAACGCAGGCUCCCGUCGGUCUCUCCCCACCUCCAGCCCUGCUUGGACCUAGGACUUGAGCUGCCCUGCGUGUGUGCCGAGGAGGAUGGGCUGUGACCGUGCCCAGAUGACUGUGCCCCCGGCGGCAGGUGCCAGCCAAGGUACUGACCCCAGACCCCCACCCCCUUGACCUCCCUGUCACCUUCCCCAUCCCUCACGUCCAGCUGGAUGCCUAGACCGUCACUGUGGCCACCGCACAGGAACUUCUACUCUCACCGGCUCUGAGCUAACCACGAGAUGGUGGUCGGCGGCGCCACUCCAGGCAGGACCCCCGCCUGCAGCCCCCACCGUGUCUCCAUUCACGCCUCCACAGCAGGUGCAUCCAGCCCACUCUCCCCCAUCACUGGGUGACUGUCCCACCUGCCCGUCUCUGCCAACUCCCCGACGUAGCGUCUUCGUCCUGAUGCUCAGCUGAGAGUCCAUCCGGAGAGGCUUCCAACAACCCAGCCACACCACCACCCCUGGGUGCGUACUCAGCCAGGCUGCCUGUGGUCUCAGCCAGGCCUCCUCACUGCAUCAGCCUGGCCGCCCCCACGCCCGUCUUCAGCCCACGGCUGGUGACCCUCAGCGCCCAACCGUGUCUUCUAGAGGCCCCGCCCCCACGCCCCUCCAGCAGCACCCCAAGCGCUCUGCUCCUCAGGGUGCACGUCCGUGGAAAGGCCCCCUGCCACCUCCACUAGCCUCCAGGCUCACAAAUCACAUCAGGCAAGACCAGAGAAGCCCCCUGAGCCGCCCCAGUGCCCAGGCCUCUGGCCUCCCUGUGCGUCCACCCGUUCCCCACUUCUGUCUCUGGGAAGCCCCUUCUGCAUGGGGUCCUGACCUGCCUCACCGACUCCCUCCUGCCAGCCCCCUUUACCGCAUCUUCUUGACGCGUGUGUCCUGAGAAGUUCCCCUCUGCUCUGCCCUGAACUGUGUCCUGCCUAACUUCCUGUACUGAAGCCUACCGGACCUUAGGGGGGUGACAAAGUCAUGAGGAUGGGUCCCAAAAAUGGCAUUAGUGCCCUUAUAACAAGAGACGGAAGAGGUUGUCUCCAGAAUGUGAGGACACAGCCGGACAGUGGCCAACUCUCAGCCAGCAAUAGAGCCUCGCCAAGAAUCGUGCCGGCGCCCUGAUCUCCGACUUCCAGCCUCCAGAACUGUGGGAAGUGGAUGGUUGAAGUCGUCAGCCUGUGGUGUUUUGAUGGAGCAGCCCACACUCCCUGAACCGCCUCUCCAGAGACCGUUCUCUGCCUGUUAACAUCUCCGGGCCCUCAGAAGCAGGGACGGGACACUGUGCCAGGACUGACAUGGCCCACAUGCUCCCUGGCCACUUGUAUCUCCCGGUGGAUCUGCACAGCCAGAGGCUUUCGGGAAGCGUGGUGCCUGUCCCCAUGACAGCUGGGGUCCCCUCAGCCUGCCCGUGCCAGGGGGAGUGCCCCAGUUGCACUGCUCAAACCCUAGGAACUGCCUUCAAGUGCCACUUUCCCACCAGCACGCCCAACCCGCCCAAGUAUAUCCAGAGCCCCCGGCACUGUUCACUCCCCCUUCUAGCCAAGCCUGUGAUUUCUCACCAGGAGAACGACCCCGACCUAGAAGACCCUCCUGGUCCUCAUCUGCUCUCCACUCCACCAACGCUGGCCUCAGCACUGUGCCUCAACACAUUCGACCCGCUGCCACCUCAGGGCCUUUGCAUGGACCAUUCCCUCAGCUCUACCCCAGCCUUGUGGCUCCUUCGCUUUGGUGCAGUCCUGCUCCAAUGUCACUUUCUCAGAGAUGUUACUUUCUCCCCGCUGCCUUCCUAAAGAGGCCCCGGCCCCCGUAUCACUCCUCAGCACCUCCCGCACCUGACGAGCCAUCGCCCCACGGGAGCAGGGACUCCCCCGCCCCCCUGCCCCCGCCGCUUUCCCCUGUCUUGGCACAAGCUUGAAUGAGUGAAGCCUCAUGGGCAUCUGAGAAGAGCCCCCACGGGCCCUGGCGCUCCUCACCUCUUUCGGCAUCCUUGAACUUGAUGGUUCUGCGCCGGGGCAGCCGGGGGCUGGUGGCCACCUCGGCCAGGAGCCCGGAGCCACAGAAGCCCAGGCCUCUGCCCCGGGUCUGGAGCACCAGCUUCAGCUCCUGGUUCUCCUGGAUGAGCUGCACAAGCCGUCGCAACUCUUCAUUCUCCUGGGCCAGCCGCUGGAUCUCCCGCCGCAGACCCUCGUAGCUGCUGAGGGGGGACAUGCCCGGCAGCAGGGGGGGCAGCUGCCAGCAGCUGUCGCCUGGCCAGGAGUAGCAGACCCCGUCAUUGUGAGGUCAGCGGCCGCCCCUGCCCCCGGGCCUCAGCUGCAUUCCGGGUGUCAGAGCCAAGGCCCCUUGAGCAGGGCACACCUGACCUCUGACCUCUGGUCCCUGAGGGCCAAAUGACUAGAGGAGCCCAGACCUGUCGAGAGCCUGGAGUCCUCUUGGAGGACGGAAGCUUCUUUAUGCCAGCCUGGCACGGAGGUGCUGCAGGGAGUGGGAGUAAAAGACCCAGGCCUCCCCAUCCCCCAUCUGGCUGCCCACUGGCCCCCAGCUGCAGCAUACCCCCCACCGCCCGUGCCAGCUCACGGGGCUGGGUGACGGCUCGGUCCCCGAGGUGGUCACACAGCCAGCAGGACAUCUCAAGGGGCCAGGACAGUGGCUGUUUGAGCUGCCCCGCGGGAGGGGCGCCUCUGGCCUAGAAAUAGCAGGAGCUGCACAGCGAGGUGGGGGGGGGUGGUGGGUCAGGGUCCGGGGGACGCGGCUAAGUCGGCAAGUGCAUCAGGACAGGGCUGGAGGCACAGAGAUGGGGCAGGGAUGGCAGGGGGCAGCUGUGUCAGGUGGAGGGCAGGCCGCCCGGAAAGUAUGCUAUACCCCUCAGGCCCCACGGCACGCUCCCCCACCUGCGGGCCCCACGGCACACCCCCGCCGCAGGGGAACCACCCCAAAGAGUAACCACCCAGCUUACAUUUUAGAGCAUAUGAAGGACUUCCUUCUUUCAUGCGAUGUGCCCUCUACCGGCACAGCUCUCUGCCUCCGCUGUCAUUGUCUGUCCUUUCCUUGUAUUAUGAUUGGCGUUUACUUCGCCAUCAUCUCCUGCCUGCUGACCCCCUCAGCACAGUUGCCACUUGUAGACCCGAAGUCCUCCUGGGAUUUGCACGCCCUUCCCCAGCUAUUUCAGUGUGGCCUGGCCAGCUCCAGGGGUCUUCACAGAGCAGACUGCAGGGGAGGCUGACAGCAGUGCCCCAGGGGACGGGGUGGGACCCGUGCUCAAUCUCAAAGGAAAUGGUGACAAUUUUAAUAGUUCCUAUAACUAGGAAGUGUCCUGAUUCUGACCAUGAUGGAGUAGAGUAUUUCUGAAAGGACUAGACAUCUUACCUCAAGGGCGUGACAGGCUCAGGGCAGUCGUGGCCGGGACUGGUCUGUGAGCAGAAUACUAAGGCCCCCGAGGUCACGGGCCCUACAUAAUCCCAGAACAAAAUGGAUUUUACCCCA